UUGACUGUGGUUCAAUGGUAGAGCAUCAGCUUGGCAAGCACAAGGUCCCAGGUUCAAUCCCUAGUAUCUCCAGUAAAA
RNAcentral lists this transfer RNA (78 nucleotides) under Sphaerodactylus townsendi. Its description in RNAcentral is "tRNA-Ala". The record is from RNAcentral. Lineage: Eukaryota; Metazoa; Chordata; Lepidosauria; Squamata; Sphaerodactylidae.